This 644-nucleotide ribosomal RNA is filed under the name uncultured Acidobacteriota bacterium. RNAcentral describes it as "bacterial SSU rRNA". It matches the Rfam family "Bacterial small subunit ribosomal RNA", at positions 335 to 974 of the family's 1533-position model. The record is from RNAcentral. Lineage: Bacteria; Pseudomonadati; Acidobacteriota.
ACUCCUACGGGAGGCAGCAGUGGGGAAUUGUUCGCAAUGGGCGCAAGCCUGACGACGCAACGCCGCGUGGAGGACGAAGAUCUUCGGGUCGUAAACUCCUUUCGAUCGGGAAAAACGCCUUUGAGGCUAACAUCCUCGAAGGGUGAUGGUACCGAGAGAAGAAGCCCCGGCUAACUCCGUGCCAGCAGCCGCGGUAAUACGGGGGGGGGCAAGCGUUGUUCGGAAUUACUGGGCGUAAAGGGCGUGUAGGCGGCCAACUAAGUCCGACGUGAAAUCCCCAGGCUCAACCUGGGAACUGCGUCGGAUACUGGAUGGCUUGAAUCCGGGAGAGGGAUGCAGAAUUCCAGGUGUAGCGGUGAAAUGCGUAGAUAUCUGGAGGAAUACCGGUGGCGAAGGCGGCAUCCUGGACCGGCAUUGACGCUGAAGCGCGAAAGCUAGGGGAGCAAACGGGAUUAGAUACCCCGGUAGUCCUAGCCCUAAACGAUGAAUGCUUGGUGUGGCGGGUAUCGAUCCCUGCCGUGCCGAAGCUAACGCAUUAAGCAUUCCGCCUGGGGAGUACGGUCGCAAGGCUGAAACUUAAAGGAAUUGACGGACUCCUACGGGAGGCAGCAGUGGGGAAUCUUGCACAAUGGGGGAAACCCUGA